Molecule: long non-coding RNA, 298 nt
Organism: Saccostrea echinata
Lineage: Eukaryota; Metazoa; Mollusca; Bivalvia; Ostreida; Ostreidae
Exons: 4
Source: RefSeq, a predicted model, not a curated record
UAAUUUGUGUGUACUGAACCAUCAACAUAUUAAACUGCAGAUCCAUACCGGCCAAGACUGGUGAUAGAUAUGUAUAGUAUUUUAGAUUGACGCAUGCUCAGCUGACUGGGGACUAUGAGUAUGGAAAACCAUUUUGCAGAAUUAGGAAUGUGCAGCUGAAAGUGGUCAAAGAUCAAAGGCCAAGACUGAUGUCAGCUUGAAAGAAACCACUCUGUGUAUUGGAUUUGCGAGAUAAAAGAUGAUGAAUUAAUGCACCAGUUUCAAGUCCAAAGAUCGAAAAGCACCAUUUAGGUCAAGG